UACGAAGGGUGCAAGCGUUAAUCGGAAUUACUGGGCGUAAAGCGUGCGCAGGCGGUUUUGUAAGUCUGACGUGAAAUCCCCGGGCUCAACCUGGGAAUUGCAUUGGAGACUGCAAGGCUAGAAUCUGGCAGAGGGGGGUAGAAUUCCACGUGUAGCAGUGAAAUGCGUAGAGAUGUGGAGGAACACCGAUGGCGAAGGCAGCCCCCUGGGUCAAGAUUGACGCUCAUGCACGAAAGCGUGGGGAGCAAACAGG
Molecule: ribosomal RNA, 253 nt
Filed under: uncultured bacterium
Lineage: Bacteria
Description: partial 16S ribosomal RNA
Rfam family: Bacterial small subunit ribosomal RNA
Source: RNAcentral